RNAcentral lists this ribosomal RNA (194 nucleotides) under uncultured bacterium. RNAcentral describes it as "partial 16S ribosomal RNA". It matches the Rfam family "Bacterial small subunit ribosomal RNA", at positions 338 to 524 of the family's 1533-position model. The record is from RNAcentral.
CCUACGGGAGGCAGCAGUGGGGAAUUUUGGACAAUGGGCGCAAGCCUGAUCCAGCAAUGCCGCGUGAGUGAAGAAGGCCUUCGGGUUGUAAAGCUCUCUUGUCAGGGAAGAAACGGUCUUGGAUAAUACCUGGGGCUAAUGACGGUACCUGAAGAAUAAGCACCGGCUAACUACGUGCCAGCAGCCGCGGUAAU